RNAcentral lists this ribosomal RNA (133 nucleotides) under uncultured bacterium. RNAcentral describes it as "partial 16S ribosomal RNA". The record is from RNAcentral.
ACGUAGUUAGCCGGGACUUAUUCCUGAAGUACCGUCAUUAUCGUCCUUCAGAAAAGAACUUUACAACCCGAAGGCCUUCAUCGUUCACGCGGCGUUGCUGCAUCAGGGUUGCCCCCAUUGUGCAAUAUUCCUC